RNAcentral lists this ribosomal RNA (425 nucleotides) under uncultured Glomeromycotina. RNAcentral's name for it is "SSU rRNA". It matches the Rfam family "Eukaryotic small subunit ribosomal RNA", at positions 670 to 1092 of the family's 1831-position model. The record is from RNAcentral. Lineage: Eukaryota; Fungi; Glomeromycota.
AUUGUCUGUACUGGUGAGAUGAGUCUCUACCUUCUGAGGAACUUUCAUGCCAUUUAUUUGGUGUGGUUGGAAAUCAGGACUGUUACUUUGAAAAAAUUAGAGUGUUUAAAGCAGGCUAACGUCUGAAUACAUUAGCAUGGAAUAAUGAAAUAGGACGGAUUGAUUCUAUUUCGUUGGUUUCUAGGGUCACCGUAAUGAUUAAUAGGGAUAGUUGGGGGCAUUAGUAUUCAAUUGUCAGAGGUGAAAUUCUUGGAUUUAUUGAAGACUAACUACUGCGAAAGCAUUUGCCAAGGAUGUUUUUAUUAAUCAAGAACGAAAGUUAGGGGAUCGAAGACGAUCAGAUACCGUCGUAGUCUUAACCAUAAACUAUGCCGACUAGGGAUCGGAUGAUGUUAAUUUUUUAAUGACUCAUUCGGCGCCUUACG